UGACCCCAGGGGAGGCAAGAUUACCCGCUGAGUUUAAGCAUAUCAAUAAGCGGAGGAAAAUAAACUUAGAAGGAUUCCCUUAGUAACGGGGAGCUAAUCGGGAAUAGACCAACCUUAGAAUCGAGUGGCUCCAUCGUCUGAAUUGUAUUCUGGAAAAGCGUCCUCAGCGGAGGAUCGGGCCCAUGUCCCCUGGAAGGGGGCGCCAAAGAAGGUGACAGCCCCGUUGUCCCUGGACCUUGCCACACGACGAGGAGCCGUCUAUGAGUCGGGCUAUUUGGGAAUUUAACCAAAAUCGGGUGGUGAAUUUCAUUCUAGGCUAAAUACAAGCGAGAGACCGAUAAUGAACAAGUACCACGAGGGAAAGAUUAAAAGGACUUUGAAAAGAGAGUCAAAGAGUGCUUGAAAUUAUCGAAAGGGAAGCAGAUGGAAACUAACGAUGCACCCUGGUUGGAUGUGGACCGGUGACGAGCUGGUUCGCCGAUCUACUCGGGGCUUGGACCAGCAUGGAUUAGGGGGCGAUCAAAGCCCGGUCUUUUGAUAUGCCCGUGGAAUGUCGUCUCCUUGAUUUUGGUACGAAGAGCGCUCUUCUGUCGUGCUUCCACAUCUGUGUGCUCCGGACACUGGCUGUGGGCUCCCCAUUCGAUCCGUCUUAAAACACGGACCAAGGAGUCUGACAUGUGUCCGAGUCAGCGGGAUAGUAAAUUCGUAAGGCAUAAAGAAUCUGAUUUGUGGGAUCCUCCUGAGGGGUGAACCGCCGACCGACCUUGAUCUUCUGAGAAGGGUUCGAGUGUGAGCAUACCUGCUGUGACCCGAAAGAUGGUGAACUAUGCCUGAGCAGGGCGAAGCCAAAGCAUACGCUAGUGGAGGCCCGUUGCGAUACUGACGUGCAAAUAGUUCAUCUGACUUGGGUAUAGGGGAGAAAGAAUAGUUGAACCGUCUAGUAGCUAGUUCCCUUCGAAGUUUCCCUCAGAAUAGCUAGAGCUCGGGUGCGAGUUCUAUCGGGUAAAGCCAAUGAUUUGAGGCUUUAUGGGCGCAACACCCUGACCUAUUUUCAAAUUUUAAAUCAGAAAGACGACGUGACUGCUUUGUUGAGUUGCACCAAUGAAUCAAGAGCUCUACGUGGGCUAUUUUUGGAAAACUGGACUGGCGAUGAGGGAUGAACCGAAAGCCGGCUUAUGGUUCCAAACUGCAUUCUAACCAAGAUCAUGUUGGUUGAUUAAGAUAGCAGGAAAGUGGUCAUGGAAGUCAAACUACGCUAAGGAGUGUGUACCAACUCACAUGCCGAGUAAACUAUCCCCGAAUAUGGAUGAGCACUUAAGCGCGCGACCUACACUUAGCAGUCGGUGUAAGUGCCAGACUCCGAUGAGUUAGAGGGAAUGGCGGUCGCUACUAAACCUUGGGCAUGAGCCUGUGCGGAGCAGCGGUCUGUGUAGAUCUUGGUGGUAGUAGCAAAUAUUCAUUUGAGAACUUUGAAGGCCGAAAAGGCAAAAGGUUCAAUGUGAACGGCACUAGCAUAUGGGUUAGUCGAUCCUAUGGGUCGGGGAAACCCCGACAGAUAGCGCGUUUCGCGCAUACUCCGAAAGGGAAUCAGGUUAAUAUUUCUGAACCGGAACGUGGCGGUUGACGACAAAGUUAGAAAGUCGGCAAACAUCGGUGGGAGCUUCGGGAAGGGUUGUCUUUUCUGUUUAACAGCAUGCCCACCAUGGAAUCGGCCUGCCGAAGGUAGGGUCCAGCGGCUGGAAGAGCACCACACGUCACGUGGUCUCUGGGGCGCUCCCGGCGACCCUUGAAAAUCCAGAGGACCUAAUGUCGUCCACGCUAGGUCGUUCUCAUAACUGCAUCAGGUCUCCAAGGUGAACAACCUCUGGUUGAUGGAACAAUGUACGCAAGUAAGGUCGGCAAAAUAGAUCUGUAGUUUCGUGAAAAGAAUUGGCUCGAAGGGUUUGGCAUGGGGUUCCUAGUACCGAACCCACUGGCUGUCGGUGAACUGCAUGAGCUGAUCCCGCGGAAAUAGUGGGACGACGUGUGCCGGCCGAGGGACGGACUGGGACGGUUCUUUUGGGGGCCUUCCCCGGGAGUCAAACAGCCAACUCAGAACUGGUACGGACAAGGGGAAUUCGACUAUUUAAUUAAAACAAAGCAUUGCGAUGGUCCCAACGGAUGUUUACGUAAUGUGAUUUUUGUAAAGUGCUCUGAAUGUCAAAGUGAAGAAAUUCAACCAUGCGGGGGUAAACGGCCGGAGUAACUAUAACUCUCUUAAGGUAGCCAAAUACCUCUUCAUCUAAUUAGUGAUGCGUAUGAAUGUAUUAAUAAGAUUCCCACUGUCCCUGUCUAAUAUCCAGCGAAACCAUAGCCAAGGGAACAUGUUUGGCAGAGUCAUUGGGGAAAGAAGACCCUUUUGAGCUUGAAUCUAGUCCGACUUUAUGAAAUGUCUUGAGAGGUGUAGUACAAGUCGGAGUUGAAAGGCGAAAGUGAAAUACCACUACUUUUAACGUUAUUUUACUUAUUCCAUGAAUCGGAAGAGGGGGACUACCCCUCUUUUUGGGCCCAAGGCUCGCUUUGCGGGUCGAUCCGGGGGGAAGACAAUGUCAAGUGGGGAGUUUGGCUGGGUUGGCACAUCUGUUAAAACAUAACGCAGGUGUCCUAAGAUAAGCUCAACAAAAAUAGAAAAAUCGUGUGGAUCAAAAGGAUAAAAGCUCGUUUGAUUCUGAUUUCCAGUACGAAUACGAAUCGUGGAUGCGUGGCAUAACGAUCUUUUAGACCUUCGGAAUUCUAAGCUGGAGGUCUCAGAAAAGUUACCACAAGGAUAACUAGCUUGUGGAAGCCAAGCUAUAUAGUGAAAUUUAUUUUUGAUCCUUCGAUGUCGGCUCUUCCUAUCAUUGUGAAGCAAAUUUCACCAAGUGUUAGAUUGUUCACCCACCAAUAGGGAACGUGAGCUGGGUUUAGACCAUCGUGAGAUAGAUUAGUUUUACCCUACUGAUGACAGUGUCGCAAUAGUAAUUAAACCUAGUAAGAGAGAAAGCGUUGAUUCACAUAAUUUGUCAUCCCGCUUGGUUGAAAAUCCAGUGGCAAGAAGCUACCUUAUGCUGGAUUAUGACUGAACGCCUCUAAGUCAGAAUCCGGGAAAGAAGCGACGCAUGCGAUCGCCGUCCGUUUACCGAUCCGCAGUAGGGGCCUUUAGCCCCCAAGUGAACGUUUUGUUGGCUAAGUAACCGCGACGGAAGCAUCGCGGUGACCCCCUUGAAGUACAAUUUCCAUCGAGCGGUGAGUAGUAUCCUUUGCAGAAGACAUAAAUAUGCGACGAGGUAUUGUAAGUGGAAAAGUAGCCUUGCUGCCACGAUCCACUGAGAUACAACACUUUGUCACUCCGAUUCGU
Non-coding RNA from Solanum tuberosum (potato), 3376 nucleotides. The record is from Rfam. Lineage: Eukaryota; Viridiplantae; Streptophyta; Magnoliopsida; Solanales; Solanaceae.